AUUGAACGCUGGCGGCAUGCCUAACACAUGCAAGUCGAACGGUAACAGGCCUUCGGGCGCUGACGAGUGGCGGACGGGUGAGUAAUACGUAGGAAUCUGCCUUAUAGUGGGGGAUAACUUAGGGAAACUUAAGCUAAUACCGCAUACGCACUACGGUGGAAAGCAGGGGAUCGCAAGACCUUGCGCUAUUAGAUGAGCCUACGUCGGAUUAGCUAGUUGGUAGGGUAAAGGCCUACCAAGGCAACGAUCCGUAGCUGGUCUGAGAGGACGACCAGCCACACUGGGACUGAGACACGGCCCAGACUCCUACGGGAGGCAGCAGUGGGGAAUAUUGGACAAUGGGCGCAAGCCUGAUCCAGCAAUGCCGCGUGUGUGAAGAAGGCCU
This 385-nucleotide ribosomal RNA is filed under the name uncultured bacterium. Its description in RNAcentral is "bacterial SSU rRNA". It matches the Rfam family "Bacterial small subunit ribosomal RNA", at positions 30 to 417 of the family's 1533-position model. The record is from RNAcentral.